CGCGUAGGCGGGAUGGCAAGUCGGUCGUGAAAUCCUUCGGCUCAACCGAAGAACGUCGAUCGAUACUGCUGUUCUUGAGGGUUGCGGAGGAGACUGGAAUUCCCGGUGUAGCGGUGAAAUGUGUAGAGAUCGGGAGGAACACCGGUGGCGAAGGCGGGUCUCUGGGCAAUUCCUGACGCUGAGGCGCGAAAGCGUGGGGAGCAAACGG
RNAcentral lists this ribosomal RNA (208 nucleotides) under uncultured bacterium. RNAcentral's name for it is "partial 16S ribosomal RNA". It matches the Rfam family "Bacterial small subunit ribosomal RNA", at positions 568 to 775 of the family's 1533-position model. The record is from RNAcentral.